RNAcentral lists this ribosomal RNA (192 nucleotides) under Triticum aestivum (bread wheat). Its description in RNAcentral is "partial small subunit ribosomal RNA". The record is from RNAcentral. Lineage: Eukaryota; Viridiplantae; Streptophyta; Magnoliopsida; Poales; Poaceae.
AAUAAAAAUACGUUACGAGCUUGUACACAGGCUUCUAAAGCCACUCGAUUAGCUGCUGCAUCAGGUGCAUUUCCCCAAGGAUGUCCUAAAGUUCCUCCACCAAAUUGUAAUACAGAAUCGUCCCCAAAGAUUUCGGUCAGAGAAUUAGUUUCUUCAGAUUCUGACGUAACAAACAAUUUUUAUGAGACAUAA